CAGUCGCCACGGUAAUACGGAGGGUGCAAGCGUUAAUCGGAAUUACUGGGCGUAAAGCGUGCGUAGGCGGUUCGUUAAGUCUGUUGUGAAAGCCCCGGGCUCAACCUGGGAAUGGCAAUGGAUACUGGCGAGCUAGAGUGUGUCAGAGGAUGGUGGAAUUCCCGGUGUAGCGGUGAAAUGCGUAGAGAUCGGGAGGAACAUCAGUGGCGAAGGCGGCCAUCUGGGACAACACUGACGCUGAGGCACGAAAGCGUGGGGAGCAAACAGGAUUAGAUACCCCCGUAGUCCCUGUCUCUUAUAC
This 301-nucleotide ribosomal RNA is filed under the name uncultured bacterium. Its description in RNAcentral is "partial 16S ribosomal RNA". It matches the Rfam family "Bacterial small subunit ribosomal RNA", at positions 509 to 807 of the family's 1533-position model. The record is from RNAcentral.